GGGGUUAAUUUAAUAAAUAAUAAAUAUGAAAAAAAAUUUUAAUAUAAUAUAUUUAAUGGGGGUUAAAGUAUUUUUAUAGAAAAAAUUUUAAAAUUUAUAGUGAAAUAGUAUUGUGAAAGAAAUAUUGAAAAUAUUGAAAUAAAAAUUUAUUUAAAAGUAAAUUUUAUUUAUUGUAUCUUGUGUAUCAGAGUUUUUUUAAAAAAAAAAUUGGGUAAAUUUAUUUCGAAAUUUAAAGAGUUAAUUAAUUAAAAAAGUUAAUAUUGCAUAAUUAUUUUGAAUAGUUAAUUGGAAAUGAAAAGUUAAUCGUUUUGAAUGAUAUCUAAUUUUUCUAGAAAAAAGUUUAAUUUUAAAUAAAUUUUAAAAAUAAUUAAUUAAUUAAUUAUUUUUAAAAUUUAAUUUUAUAUUUUAGGGGAUAAGCUUUAAAUUAGAAUUUUAUAAUAAAAGUAAAAAAAAAUUGAAAUUUUUAAAAUUUAUAUUUUUUAUAAAUUAUAGUUUAUUAUCAAUAAUUUCAUUUAAUUAAAAUUUUAUUUUAAUUUAAAUUUUUAUAGAAAAAUAUUUUUUAAUUUAAUAAAAAUAGGUAUAAUGAUAAAAUUAGUAUAUAAUUUAUAAAUAAAAUAAAAAUUAUUUAAAUUAAUAAAAAGGAAUUCGGCAAAAAU
Molecule: ribosomal RNA, 656 nt
Filed under: Pieris macdunnoughi
Lineage: Eukaryota; Metazoa; Arthropoda; Insecta; Lepidoptera; Pieridae
Description: partial 16S ribosomal RNA
Source: RNAcentral